GAAUACAAAGUGAAGAAAUUUCUAGAGACAACAAAAUCGGAGUGAAAUUAAGAGUUUUGAUUCUGGGUCUGAAUGAAUAUAUCUUCUUGGUUCUGAAAACAGAGGAAAAACAGAGUGAUUUAAGCUCUGAAAUGUCUUUAAUUGGAGGAGAGUUUUAUUUUUUUUCUUGACAGUGAGAAAGUUGAAGGAGACUGGGAGAAAGAAGGAUAGAUUCAUCCAAUCAUUAAAAAAAAAAAUUCAUUUGGAUUCAAACAUCAUCAAGAAAAAGUCAAAUUCACGGACAAAUUGAAGAACAGAAAAAAACCCAAAUCUCAACAGGAUUUGUUGAGUGUUUAUAAUGGGAAUUACUGGAACAGAGUCAUCAACUAAUGAAUCCGCCACCAUGAAAUCACCAACACCACCGCAACCGGUGGUGGGUGAAGCCCUUGAAUUAGUGAAAUGUGAUUGUUGCGGAUUAACAGAAGAAUGCACAUUAACAUACAAAUCUAAAGUGAAAGAAAGAUAUCAAGGAAAAUGGAUUUGUGGCGAAAAUUGCGCCAACCCCAACAACAAAUCCAAUCCCAAAUUCUCUUAUUUGUUUGUUUUGAUCUACUAUUCUCUAACUUAAGCCAUGGAAAGGAAUGUCCCAUGGGGUGUAUAGUUUUGCUGUCUUAGUUUUGGAAAUGACCAAAGCAAUAAUUGAGAGUCGGAAUUUGUGCAAACUCCUUAAUCGAAUGUAAAUUUCACAUUUCAAUCUCUA
Molecule: long non-coding RNA, 739 nt
Organism: Papaver somniferum (opium poppy)
Lineage: Eukaryota; Viridiplantae; Streptophyta; Magnoliopsida; Ranunculales; Papaveraceae
Exons: 2
Source: RefSeq, a predicted model, not a curated record